Cyprinus carpio carpio is the source of this 717-nucleotide long non-coding RNA. Lineage: Eukaryota; Metazoa; Chordata; Actinopteri; Cypriniformes; Cyprinidae. The record is from Ensembl.
GGGGCUGUGACGUGGAGUGGACGGCACAUUUGGACAGCGCUAUGGUGGCUAGUCAGACUGCUGGUGCUUUCCACAAAUACCGUAAACACUGGCAUCCCAAGACUUUUGCAAAAUUGCUUUUUUUUUGUUUAAUGUCUAUUAUACAAUACUACAAUAUAUUACUAUUAUAAUAUUAUUAAUUAUAAAUUAACAUACCAUAAUUAUCUCAUUUGAGUCUUUGCAAAGACCAUCCCCCUAGUUACUGUUGCUAUGUCUGACAAGCCAUGGCGCUCUCAUGCCACCAUGUUCUCACGCAGUGAAAAAUACAUUGCGUAGCAAAGAGGACACUGACAAUGCGCCGACAGACAAAACAGAGCAAGUUACUUUAGAUCCUGUGAGUUGUGACAUUCAAGAACUGCCAUCAUUUGGACCUUUUCUACAUCAUGACAUGAAGACAGAUCUGCAUACUUGUCAUUGAUUGAUUGAUUCAUCCAUUCAAAGCUAUAACAAGAGGUAAAGAAACUAACUUAAUGAGCAAACAAUAAACUCACCCAUUUUAUUUUACAUUUUUUAACCCUCAUGAUGUGUUCCAUGAGUGGAUUUUCUUUAUUUUUUAUUUUUUCCACAAAAAUGCUAAUUAAUGAAAUUUCAUUGGACUAAAACUCAAUAAACGUACCAAAUUACUAGAAAAUUUUUUUUUAUAAUUUUUGUACUGUUUUAGGAUUUUUCUCCAACCUU